GCACGGCUCUCCCCAUGUCAGAUGCAGCCCCGGCAGGAUGCUUAAAAGAAGCACCACCUCCAGGAGAGAGGGGUCGCCCGGUGUAGAGGAUGGGAGCGACCGUGAGGAGAGGAGGAAGUUUGAGGUUUGCAGCUCUAGUUGCAUGAGGGACUUCCUGAGUCUAUGUUCAUGUUCCUCUUUCACUGAGCCUCAAAUUAUGACAUCAUCCACUGAAGUAUCAACACCAUUAGUAUGUUCAUGGAUCAUAUGUAUGGAUUUGUGGUACACUUUUCCUGCUAAAGCUAUGACAAAGGAAAUGUAAUGCAGAACACAGAUAUUCAAUGAGAGGAAAAGAUACGUUGAAAAGGGAAAUGUCAAAGCAAGUCCCUCUCUAUGCAGCACUGGUAAGAGCACAUCUAUGACACAGUUCUGAACAGCUUGACUGAAGAUGGCUAUUGAAAAGCUGGAGAGAAUUCAAAGAAGGAGUAAAGUAAUUAAUGAACAACCACCUCCAGAACAUCUGCCGUUUUGGGAAAUAUCCAUAAAGUAGGUGAAGGCUGAAUUAUUCCCAGGGACAUCUGGAGGGAUUUGGACUCAUAUUUUCUAGUCUUGUUUCAAACCCUGGAACAAUGUGGAGAUGAUACUUAUUUCUGAAAUAAGGUGCUCUCUGAAUUAUGAAUUUGUCCUAGCUAUUCAUAAUAGUUUAUUUCAUCAGCAGGUUUUUAAUACUGUAAAUGUGAAUAGCAUCCCAUAGUUAUUUCAGGGACUAACUGAAUGUAUGGAGAGUGGUACUACUAAUUUAUUUUUAUUACAGAUGUCCAAAUGCUCUUUUGUAUUCAGCCCUGUAGGUACUGAGCUUGUUACCAUUUUAGACAUGAAAUCACUAUGCAGCUCUCAGGGCUGGGGCAAGAGGCCCAGCGUACUGGGCAGCACUAAAGGCUGCCUGCAGACUGGUGUGGUAUGUUCAGGGCAGUGCUUAGGGCUGUGUUCCCCGGCUCCAUCCCUUCCACCUGAGUCCCUGCCUCUUCUGGGAGGGCGGAGCUGGGUCCCUACACACACCUUGCCUUGCAACCCAUGGAGACUGUCACACCCCCAACCAGUGUCUCUGCUGGGAGUCCCUCCAUAUACCCCAGCACCCUGCAACCACAACUGGACUCAGUCCCUAAACUUCUGUCCCUGGGCUGCCACCUUAGCUCUUCCCACUGGAGUGACACCCUGUUCUCCUGAGCAAGAUCCCCUGCAGCUUCUCUACUGGGAGGUCAUCCUUAGGGGAGCAUCCCUCACCCUGACCCUCUCUCACUGUUCCCCUGUGUCUAGCUCUCCAGGGAGAACAUCUCACUAAGUAAGGGUAUGUCUACACUACAAAGUUAAUUCGAACUAACAGCCGUUAGUUCGAAUUAACUUUAAUAGGGGCUACACAUACAAACCGCUAGUUCGAAUUUAAAUCGAACUAGCA
Molecule: non-coding RNA, 1435 nt
Organism: Pelodiscus sinensis (Chinese soft-shelled turtle)
Lineage: Eukaryota; Metazoa; Chordata; Testudines; Trionychidae
Source: RefSeq, a predicted model, not a curated record